AACGCGAAGAACCUUACCUACCCUUGACAUGUCCAGAAUCCUGCAGAGAUGCGGGAGUGCCCGAAAGGGAGCCGGGACACAGGUGCUGCAUGGCUGUCGUCAGCUCGUGUCGUGAGAUGUUGGGUUAAGUCCCGCAACGAGCGCAACCCUUGCCAGUAGUUGCCACAUUCAGUUGGGCACUCUACUGGGACUGCCGGUGACAAACCGGAGGAAGGUGGGGAUGACGUCAAGUCCUCAUGGCCCUUAUGGGUAGGGCUUCACACGUCAUACAAUGGUCGGUACAGAGGGUUGCCAAGCCGCGAGGUGGAGCCAAUCCCAGAAAGCCGAUCGUAGUCCGGAUCGGAGUCUGCAACUCGACUCCGUGAAGUCGGAAUCGCUAGUAAUCGCGGAUCAGCAUGUCGCGGUGAAUACGUUCCCGGGUCUUGUACACACGC
RNAcentral lists this ribosomal RNA (434 nucleotides) under uncultured bacterium. RNAcentral's name for it is "bacterial SSU rRNA". It matches the Rfam family "Bacterial small subunit ribosomal RNA", at positions 958 to 1393 of the family's 1533-position model. The record is from RNAcentral.